Molecule: ribosomal RNA, 520 nt
Filed under: uncultured Glomus
Lineage: Eukaryota; Fungi; Glomeromycota; Glomeromycetes; Glomerales; Glomeraceae
Description: SSU rRNA
Rfam family: Eukaryotic small subunit ribosomal RNA
Source: RNAcentral
AGCAGCCGCGGUAAUUCCAGCUCCAAUAGCGUAUAUUAAAGUUGUUGCAGUUAAAAAGCUCGUAGUUGAAUUUCGGGGUCAGUAGGUUGGUCAUGCCUUUGGUAUGUACUGGUCUCACUGAUUCCUCCCUCUUGAAGAACUGUAAUGUCAUUAACUUGGUGUUGCGGGGAAUCAGGACUGUUACUUUGAAAAAAUUAGAGUGUUUAAAGCAGGCUUACGCUUGAAUACAUUAGCAUGGAAUAAUGAAAUAGGACGUUUGAUCCUAUUUUGUUGGUUUCUAGGAUUGACGUAAUGAUUAAUAGGGAUAGUUGGGGGCAUUAGUAUUCAAUUGUCAGAGGUGAAAUUCUUGGAUUUAUUGAAGACUAACUACUGCGAAAGCAUUUGCCAAGGAUGUUUUCAUUAAUCAAGAACGAAAGUUAGGGGAUCGAAGACGAUCAGAUACCGUCGUAGUCUUAACCAUAAACUAUGCCGACUAGGGAUCGGAUGAUGUUAAUUUUUUAAUGACUCAUUCGGCGCCUUA